GAGUUUGAUCUUGGCUCAGAUUGAACGCUAGCGGGAUGCUUUACACAUGCAAGUCGAACGGCAGCGCGAGAGAGCUUGCUCUCUUGGCGGCGAGUGGCGGACGGGUGAGUAAUAUAUCGGAACGUGCCCAGUAGCGGGGGAUAACUACUCGAAAGAGUGGCUAAUACCGCAUACGCCCUACGGGGAAAGGGGGAGGUCGCAGACCUCUCACUAUUGG
RNAcentral lists this ribosomal RNA (217 nucleotides) under uncultured microorganism. RNAcentral describes it as "partial 16S ribosomal RNA". It matches the Rfam family "Bacterial small subunit ribosomal RNA", at positions 9 to 224 of the family's 1533-position model. The record is from RNAcentral.